RNAcentral lists this ribosomal RNA (987 nucleotides) under Candidatus Desantisbacteria bacterium CG07_land_8_20_14_0_80_39_15. RNAcentral describes it as "bacterial SSU rRNA". It matches the Rfam family "Bacterial small subunit ribosomal RNA", at positions 1 to 940 of the family's 1533-position model. The record is from RNAcentral. Lineage: Bacteria; Candidatus Desantisiibacteriota.
UUUAUUAGAGAGUUUGAUCCUGGCUCAGGAUUAAUGCUAGCGGCGUGCCUAACACAUGCAAGUCGAACGGUUCCGAUUGCCAUUUGAGAACAGUUGUUUUUUUACAGCUGUUUUAAUUUAGUAAUCGGGAUAGUGGCGAACGGGUGAGUAAUGCGUGGAUAACCUGCCUUCAAGAGGAAGAUAGCUUCGUGAAAACGGGGGUAAUAUUCCAUAAGACCCUCCCCUGCUGUCUUGCGACAGCAAGACGGGGGGGUAAAAGUCUCCCGAUUUAACAUCGUGGGACACUUGAAGAGGGGUUCACGUUCUAUUAGCUAGUUGGUACGGUAAUGGCGUACCAAGGCGAAGAUGGAUAGCCGGCUUGAGAGAGUGUACGGCCACACUGGGAUUGAGAUACGGCCCAGACUCCUACGGGAGGCAGCAGUGAGGAAUUUUCCGCAAUGCCCGAAAGGGUGACGGAGCGACGCCGCGUGGGUGAUGAAGGCCUUCGGGUUGUAAAACCCUGUUGUAAAGGACGAUAAUGACGGUACUUUAUGAGGAAGCAUCGGCUAACUCUGUGCCAGCAGCCGCGGUAAGACAGAGGAUGCAAGCAUUAUCCAGAAUUACUGGGUGUAAAAUGUGUGCAGGUGGUUUUAUAAGUCAAAUGUGAAAUCUAGAUGCUUAACAUCUAAAUUGCAUUUGAUACUGUUUAACUUGAGUUCUGGUGAGGAAAGUGGAAUUCCCGGUGGAGCGGUGAAAUGCGUUGAUAUCGGGAGGAACACCGAUGGCGAAGGCAACUUUCCAGCUUGAAACUGACACUGAAACACGAAAGCUAGGGGAGCAAACAGGAUUAGAUACCCUGGUAGUCCUAGCCGUAAACGAUGGAUACUGGGUGUAGGCUCUUUAUGGGUCUGUGCCGAAGCUAACGCGUUAAGUAUCCUACCUGGGGAGUACAGUCGCAAGACCGAAACUCAAAGGAAUUGACGGGGGCUCGCACAAGCGGUGGAACAC